GUGCUCACUUUGACAGCACAUACGAAGACUAAAAUUGGAACGAUACAAAGAUUAGCAUGGCCCCUGCACAAAGAUGACAUUCAAUUAGUGAAGCAUUCUGUUUUUUA
Molecule: small nuclear RNA, 107 nt
Organism: Pteronotus mesoamericanus
Lineage: Eukaryota; Metazoa; Chordata; Mammalia; Chiroptera; Mormoopidae
Source: RefSeq, a predicted model, not a curated record